UACGUAGGGUGCGAGCGUUGUCCGGAAUUAUUGGGCGUAAAGAGCUCGUAGGCGGUUUGUUGCGUCGGCCGUGAAAACCUGCAGCUUAACUGUGGGCCUGCGGCCGAUACGGGCAGACUUGAGUUCGGUAGGGGAGACUGGAAUUCCUGGUGUAGCGGUGAAAUGCGCAGAUAUCAGGAGGAACACCGAUGGCGAAGGCAGGUCACUGGGCCGCAACUGACGCUGAGGAGCGAAAGCAUGGGGAGCGAACAGG
This 253-nucleotide ribosomal RNA is filed under the name uncultured bacterium. Its description in RNAcentral is "partial 16S ribosomal RNA". It matches the Rfam family "Bacterial small subunit ribosomal RNA", at positions 524 to 776 of the family's 1533-position model. The record is from RNAcentral.